ACAUCAUAUUUUACUUCUUUAGUCCCCUUCUUUGAUUGCUUAUUUCUCUACUCCCCCUCAAAAUAGAAAACAUAAAGGAUAUAUCAACUUACUCAUCUAGAAGAUAUUGUAAUUCAUAGUAUUUCUCAGCACUAAUAUGAGUUAUUUUUCAUAUCUCAUAAUUAAAAUAAUUCAAUUUGAUCACAUUCAUAGAUUUUCAUUGAAAGUCAAAGCACAUAUAUAUAUAUAUAUUCAAAAGUGACUAAAUACAAAAGGUGUCCCAAUACACAUGAGUCAACUCAAAAUAUAAAAGUCAUGGAUAGAAACUAUCCAAGAGUUAAUUAGCCA
RNAcentral lists this long non-coding RNA (327 nucleotides) under Elaeis guineensis (African oil palm). RNAcentral describes it as "long non-coding RNA (EGUI_LNC059183)". Lineage: Eukaryota; Viridiplantae; Streptophyta; Magnoliopsida; Arecales; Arecaceae. The record is from RNAcentral.